Molecule: long non-coding RNA, 158 nt
Organism: Telopea speciosissima
Lineage: Eukaryota; Viridiplantae; Streptophyta; Magnoliopsida; Proteales; Proteaceae
Exons: 2
Source: RefSeq, a predicted model, not a curated record
ACUCUGAAGGUUCGAAACAACAAACUACACUGCAUUUGAUGCGAAGUUGCAACCAACGAUCUCCGAGAAGCUCCACCAUACGAUGUUCCUCACUCUUGAAAUAAAGUAGAGACGAAAAGGAUCGAAAUAACGAUGAAAAUACGAAGAGAAAUUAGCUA